This 614-nucleotide ribosomal RNA is filed under the name Papiliotrema laurentii. RNAcentral describes it as "eukaryotic LSU rRNA". It matches the Rfam family "Eukaryotic large subunit ribosomal RNA", at positions 50 to 653 of the family's 3401-position model. Lineage: Eukaryota; Fungi; Basidiomycota; Tremellomycetes; Tremellales; Rhynchogastremaceae. The record is from RNAcentral.
GCGGAGGAAAAGAAACUAACAAGGAUUCCCCUAGUAACGGCGAGUGAACCGGGAAAAGCUCAAAUUUGAAAUCUGGCGUCCUCAGGGCGUCCGAGUUGUAAUCUAUAGAGGCGUUUUCCGUGCCGGACCGUGUCCAAGUCCCUUGGAACAGGGUAUCAAAGAGGGUGACAAUCCCGUACUUGACACGACUACCGGUGCUCUGUGAUACGUCUUCUACGAGUCGAGUUGUUUGGGAAUGCAGCUCAAAAUGGGUGGUGAGUUCCAUCUAAAGCUAAAUAUUGGCGAGAGACCGAUAGCGAACAAGUACCGUGAGGGAAAGAUGAAAAGCACUUUGGAAAGAGAGUUAAACAGUACGUGAAAUUGUUGAAAGGGAAACGAUUGAAGUCAGUCGUGACCGAGAGGCUCAGCCGGCUCUGCCGGUGUAUUCCCCUCGGUCGGGUCAACAUCAGUUUUGUCCGGUGGAUAAGGGCGGUAGGAAGGUGGCACCCACGGGUGUGUUAUAGCCUGCCGUCGCAUACACUGGGUGAGACUGAGGAAUGCAGCUCGCCUUUAUGGCCGGGGUUCGCCCACGUCCGAGCUUAGGAUGUUGACAUAAUGGCUUUAAACGACCCGUC